RNAcentral lists this ribosomal RNA (204 nucleotides) under Clostridioides difficile. RNAcentral describes it as "partial 23S ribosomal RNA". It matches the Rfam family "Bacterial large subunit ribosomal RNA", at positions 1252 to 1456 of the family's 2925-position model. The record is from RNAcentral. Lineage: Bacteria; Bacillati; Bacillota; Clostridia; Peptostreptococcales; Peptostreptococcaceae.
GAAGCAUGACCGUAAGGACAUGUGGACAGUAUGGGAGUGAGAAUGUUGGCAUGAGUAGCGAGAUGUGGGUGAGAAUCCCACAGGCCGUAAACCCAAGGUUUCCAGGGGAAGGUUCGUCCGCCCUGGGGUAGUCGGGACCUAAGCUGAGGCCGAAAGGCGUAGGUGAUGGACAACAGGUUGAUAUUCCUGUACUACCGAUAACCG